CCCUUAGACGUUCUGGGCCGCACGCGCGCUACACUGACGAAGGCAACGAGCUUUCCUUUACCGAAAGGUACGGGUAAUCUUUUGAAACUUCGUCGUGCUGGGGAUAGAUCCUUGCAAUUAUUGAUCUUAAGCGAGGAAUUCCUAGUAAGCGCAAGUCAUCAACUUGCGUUGAUUACGUCCCUGCCCUUUGUACACACCGCCCGUCGCUACUACCGAUUGAAUGGUUUAGUGAGGCCUUCGGAUCCGCGACUCGUUUUGUGGAGAAGUUGGACAAACUCAGUCAUUUAGAGGAAGUAAAAGUCGUAACA
Molecule: ribosomal RNA, 308 nt
Filed under: uncultured eukaryote
Lineage: Eukaryota
Description: partial 18S ribosomal RNA
Rfam family: Eukaryotic small subunit ribosomal RNA
Source: RNAcentral